Molecule: long non-coding RNA, 322 nt
Filed under: Salvia miltiorrhiza (redroot sage)
Lineage: Eukaryota; Viridiplantae; Streptophyta; Magnoliopsida; Lamiales; Lamiaceae
Description: long non-coding RNA (SMIL_LNC012473)
Source: RNAcentral
CCUUAGGGUGCCUCCGAUGGUACCCAAAUCCAGUUUCUACUUUUUGCACCCGCCAUUGGAGAAAAUUGAAACUGGAUGCAGCCCAAAAAUCGAGGAAACUAGUUUCAUUUUUGCACCCAGUUUCCAGCCGACAAAUGUGGGGCCCUAUCUACUUUUUAAAUUUAUUUUUAAUAGCUUUCCUCUACUUUUUCGGUUUGCUUGCAUUUUUUUUCAGACUUUAUUUUUAUUUGCUUUCAUAUUUUUUUCGGUUAUUGCUUAUUCGCUUUUAUUGAUUGUUUUACUUAUUUUUAUGUAACGAUAACAUUUUUCCCUUAAAAAAAAU